UCACUUUAUGUCUUUUUUAAUUUCCCUUUUAGAGUCAACGUCAAAAGAUCUGGCGUCAAAAAGUAUGACUAUUUGGUGGAUGAUGGAGUUGUGAAAAAGAAGGGAAAACCCUUCAAUCACAAAUCCUAUUUCAAAGAUGUUGUUUUAGACAACUAUGAUGUGAUUAAACCAUUCGUAGGACGAAUUGGUUCGGAAUUUCUGGAUCUCAAUCUGGCACAGCCAGAAAAUCUUGAUGCGUUCGAUGUUCCUAAUACAUGUUUGGGUGAUUCAAAUGAUACUGAUGGCUCUGAGAUCAAAAAUGAUCCAAAUGAGCGUCAGAAUUAAAUUGCCCUUACCUUGAACAUCAAUGCAGUCGAAAAAUAUUCAGACGACGUAUGAAGAAUGUGACGUAAAAAUUGUGUGUCACAUGAGCCUCUGAGGAGGUGGACUCUGUUUAAGAAGUUGAAAAACUGAUUAAAGAUUUUGACAGAAUGAUGACGACUGUGUGAUAUGAGCCCCUAUAAGGGCGGACUCUCUUUUCGAGCCCCUAUAUGGCUGGACUCUGCUUAAAAAGUUAGAAAACAGCUUAAAGAUUUUGAAAGACUGAGGACGAAUGUAUGAUAAAAGCCAUUAAAUAGGUGGACUCUACUUUUGAUCCUACAAGCUUUUCCAAUAUUUUCAGAAAAUCCUAAGGAUUUAAAAGAAUCGUGACUAUUGUGUGAUAUGAUACCCAAAAUAAGUGGACUCUGUUUUUGAGCCCUUUAGAGGGUACACUCUUUUUUCUGAGCCCCUAAGAGGUUGGACUCUAUUUAAGAAGUUGGUAGAUUGUAUAAACAAUUAUGUGAUAUAAGGCCUUAUAAAAGGUGGACUCUGUUUUUGAGCCCCUGAAAAGGUGGACUCCUCUUUUGAGCCCCUAAGAGGGUGGACUCUGUUUAAAAAGGUGGAAAAUUGUUUAAAUAAUUUAAAAGACUUGUGACAAUUGCGUGAUAUAAGCCCCUGAAAGGAUGGACUUUUAAAACGACAAUUUUUGUAAAAAAAAAUUUGCUUGUAUGUUUGAUAAGUUACAUCUUUUUUGUUAAGUGAUACUAAAAAUUACAAAAAAAAAAUAAAUAAAAAAAAAAUUA
Parasteatoda tepidariorum (common house spider) is the source of this 1103-nucleotide non-coding RNA. The record is from RefSeq and is a predicted model, not a curated record. Lineage: Eukaryota; Metazoa; Arthropoda; Arachnida; Araneae; Theridiidae.